AGAUUGAACGCUGGCGGCAUGCCUUACACAUGCAAGUCGAACGGCAGCACGGGAGCAAUCCUGGUGGCGAGUGGCGAACGGGUGAGUAAUAUAUCGGAACGUGCCCAGUCGUGGGGGAUAACGUAGAGAAAUUUACGCUAAUACCGCAUACGAUCUAAGGAUGAAAGCGGGGGACCUUCGGGCCUCGCGCGAUUGGAGCGGCUGAUAUCAGAUUAGGUUGUUGGUGAGGUAAAAGCUCACCAAGCCGACGAUCUGUAGCUUGGUUUGAGAGAACGACCAGCCACACUGGGACUGAGACACGGCCCAGACCU
This 311-nucleotide ribosomal RNA is filed under the name uncultured soil bacterium. Its description in RNAcentral is "bacterial SSU rRNA". It matches the Rfam family "Bacterial small subunit ribosomal RNA", at positions 26 to 338 of the family's 1533-position model. The record is from RNAcentral.